CCCUACGGGGCGCAGCAGUGGGGAAUAUCGCACAAUGGGGGAAACCCUGAUGCAGCAACGCCGCGUGAGUGAAGAAGGUUUUCUGAUUGUAAAGCUCUGUUAGCAGGGAAGAGGAAGGACGGUACCUGCAGAGGAAGCCACGGCUAACUACGUGCCAGCAGCCGCGGUAAUACGUAGGUGGCGAGCGUUAUCCGGAAUGAUUGGGCGUAAAGGGUGCGUAGGCGGCCUGCUAAGUCUGGAGUGAAAGGUACCGGCUCAACCGGUACAGGCUCUGGAAACUGGCGGGCCAGAGAGCAGGAGAGGGG
Molecule: ribosomal RNA, 305 nt
Filed under: uncultured bacterium
Lineage: Bacteria
Description: bacterial SSU rRNA
Rfam family: Bacterial small subunit ribosomal RNA
Source: RNAcentral